AUACGUAGGGGGCGAGCGUUGUCCGGAAUGAUUGGGCGUAAAGGGCGCGUAGGCGGCCCGGUAAGUCUGGAGUGAAAGUCCUGUUUUUAAGAUGGGAAUUGCUUUGGAUACUGUCGGGCUUGAGUGCAGGAGAGGGAAGUGGAAUUCCCAGUGUAGCGGUGAAAUGCAUAGAGAUUGGGAGGAACACCAGUGGCGAAGGCGACUUACUGGACUGUAACUGACGCUGAGGCGCGAAAGUGUGGGGAGCAAACAGGAUUAGAUACCCUGGUAGUCCACACUGUAAACGAUGAAUGCUAGGUGUAAGAGGUAUCGACCCCUUUUGUGCCGGAGUCAACACAAUAAGCAUUCCGCCUGGGGAGUACGGCCGCAAGGUUGAGACUCAAAUGAAUUGACGGGG
This 397-nucleotide ribosomal RNA is filed under the name uncultured bacterium. RNAcentral's name for it is "partial 16S ribosomal RNA". It matches the Rfam family "Bacterial small subunit ribosomal RNA", at positions 523 to 918 of the family's 1533-position model. The record is from RNAcentral.